Molecule: long non-coding RNA, 1236 nt
Filed under: Gossypium raimondii (Peruvian cotton)
Lineage: Eukaryota; Viridiplantae; Streptophyta; Magnoliopsida; Malvales; Malvaceae
Description: long non-coding RNA (GRAI_LNC008856)
Source: RNAcentral
UAACUUGAAAAUUUGGAGUCAAAUUUUAUUUAUGAACUUUGGAAAGAAGUUACAAUCUUCGGAUAUUUUUUAAUUACAAAUAAAAACUCAUUUGAUUCUUCUCUUUGAUGGAGCUUCGAUCCAAGAGUCGUCUAGAAUUGAUCUUAGAAGGAUGCAAUUUGUUUAAAGGGUUGUUGAGGCUUGAUCUUAAAGUUGAGUUUGGCGAGAUGUUUGCUAGAGAAUUUAAUUUGGAUUUGGAUUUGGAUUCAAUGGUCAUUGAGACUAAAUGUUGAAUCAAUGAUGUUCGCUUCAAGGGUUAUCAAAACUUGAUCUUGAAAACAGGUUUAAACCUUAUUUCUUCAAUUGAACCAGAUUGAAAGGCAUCUUUCUUCAAAAAUGACUUUUGACCCCCUUUCCAUAGUUGAACUGGAUUGGAAGACGACUUUCUUCAAAAAUGAUAUGCCAUUUUCAGAAUUUCUUCAAGCUCUUUAGUUUCUUCAAAGAUUUUUAUGGAGAAUUUCUAGAGUUCUUAAACUUGUGAAUGUGACGAAUGGCUUGGAGGUGACUUCCUUUUAUAAGAACUCCCCCCUCAAAAAAAAAAACAAUGAAAGAAAAAAAAUGCAGAGAAGAAGAAGAAGAAAAUAAGGUUUCUGAAGUUGCAAAGGAGUCCUAUUUAUUAGUACCUAGGCAGGAAACUAAAGCAACAUUCCAAAAGAAACAAUGGUAAUAAAGUAACAACGUAUGUUUGAAAAAAAAAUCCAAUCAAAGAUAAAACACAUGUUUAGGAGCAAUUAACGUAGAAGCAUAAUGAUUAGAGUAAUAAUCAUGAUGCUCUCAAAUCUAUUCAAGCAUUGUUAGAACUUCCACGAGCCUCACUAAAGAUUUUACUCUACCCUAGUCACUUAUAACAUACCUUUUGUCUAAGGAAUAAUUGUUAUUGCAAUUCUCAAAAGAUGGGGAAGAGUUGUUUUCAACAUCCAUCAUUAAAUCACUCCUCUAAGUUUGACGUUGCUUUGACGAGUCUCUUCACAUCGGCUCAAACAGUAUUCACAACUAACAAUUAGCCUCUCUAUCGCUUGCACAUAUGAAGUAGAGCAUUCGGUGGUUGAACCUGUGCCAAGUUAACCUCUUUUUAUAAAUAUUAUUCUUUCAAUAUAAAGAAGGAAAAAGAGAGAUCUAUCAUAUAAUCCUCACUCUACUCAAAUACCAUAUUUGGAUUUCCAUUCUUAGUGGCUCUCCAUACCACUACAAUAUGAA